This 580-nucleotide ribosomal RNA is filed under the name uncultured Phialocephala. RNAcentral's name for it is "eukaryotic LSU rRNA". The stretch from base 221 to 374 matches the Rfam family "5.8S ribosomal RNA". Lineage: Eukaryota; Fungi; Ascomycota; Leotiomycetes; Helotiales. The record is from RNAcentral.
AAGUCGUAACAAGGUUUCCGUAGGUGAACCUGCGGAAGGAUCAUUACAAGUGAGGCUCCCGAACGUUGGAAACAGCGGUUAGGAGCUUACACCCACCCGUGUUUACAUACUAUUGUUGCUUUGGCGGGCCGUGGCCUCCACUGCGGGCUCUGCUCGUGUGUGCCCGCCAGAGAACCAAACUCUGAAUGUUAGUGAUGUCUGAGUACUAUCUAAUAGUUAAAACUUUCAACAACGGAUCUCUUGGUUCUGGCAUCGAUGAAGAACGCAGCGAAAUGCGAUAAGUAAUGUGAAUUGCAGAAUUCAGUGAAUCAUCGAAUCUUUGAACGCACAUUGCGCCCUGUGGUAUUCCGCAGGGCAUGCCUGUUCGAGCGUCAUUUAACCACUCACGCCUAGCGUGGUAUUGGGAUACGCGGUCUCCGCGGCCCUCAAAAUUAGUGGCGGCGCCGGUGGGCUCUAAGCGUAGUACAUACUCCCGCUAUAGAGUUCCCCCGGUGGCUCGCCAGAACCCCCAAUUUUUACAGGUUGACCUCGGAUCAGGUAGGGAUACCCGCUGAACUUAAGCAUAUCAAUAAGCGGAGGA